RNAcentral lists this transfer RNA (75 nucleotides) under Candidatus Omnitrophota bacterium. Its description in RNAcentral is "Candidatus Omnitrophica bacterium tRNA-Thr". It matches the Rfam family "tRNA". Rfam says of the family: Transfer RNA (tRNA) molecules are approximately 80 nucleotides in length. Their secondary structure includes four short double-helical elements and three loops (D, anti-codon, and T loops). Lineage: Bacteria; Pseudomonadati; Candidatus Omnitrophota. The record is from RNAcentral. RNAcentral also lists the same sequence under 1 other name.
GCCGCCUUAGCUCAGUGGUAGAGCAGUUGUUUUGUAAACAACGGGUCGGCGGUUCGAAUCCGUCAGGCGGCUCCA